This 305-nucleotide ribosomal RNA is filed under the name uncultured bacterium. RNAcentral describes it as "bacterial SSU rRNA". It matches the Rfam family "Bacterial small subunit ribosomal RNA", at positions 335 to 637 of the family's 1533-position model. The record is from RNAcentral.
UGCCUACGGGACGCAGCAGUGAGGAAUAUUGGUCAAUGGGCGGAAGCCUGAACCAGCCAAGUCGCGUGAGGGAAUAAGGCCCUACGGGUCGUAAACCUCUUUUGCCGGGGAGCAAGGGCGGGGACGUGUCCCGGCCCGGAGAGUACCCGGAGAAAAAGCAUCGGCUAACUCCGUGCCAGCAGCCGCGGUAAUACGUAGGGUGCGAGCGUUAAUCGGAAUUACUGGGCGUAAAGGGUGUGCAGGCGGCUGAGUAAGACAGAUGGGAAAUCCCCGGGCUUAACCUGGGAACCGCAUAUGUGACUGCU